This 238-nucleotide ribosomal RNA is filed under the name uncultured bacterium. Its description in RNAcentral is "partial 16S ribosomal RNA". It matches the Rfam family "Bacterial small subunit ribosomal RNA", at positions 96 to 334 of the family's 1533-position model. The record is from RNAcentral.
CGGCGGACGGGUGAGUAACGCGUGGGUAACCUGCCUCAUACAGGGGGAUAACAGUCAGAAAUGACUGCUAAUACCGCAUAAGACCACGGUACCGCAUGGUACAGUGGUAAAAACUCCGGUGGUAUGAGAUGGACCCGCGUCUGAUUAGGUAGUUGGUGGGGUAACGGCCUACCAAGCCGACGACCAGUAGCCGACCUGAGAGGGUGACCGGCCACAUUGGGACUGAGACACGGCCCAG